UGACAUUGGUCCACGUCAAGACUGAUGGC
Molecule: small RNA, 29 nt
Filed under: Bombyx mori (domestic silkworm)
Lineage: Eukaryota; Metazoa; Arthropoda; Insecta; Lepidoptera; Bombycidae
Description: ovarian small RNA-31489
Source: RNAcentral